GGUUCUAUAGUGUAGUGGUUAGCACUUCGGAUUCUGAUUCCGGCAACCCCGGUUCGACUCCGGGUAGGACCU
This is a non-coding RNA of Pyronema omphalodes CBS 100304, 72 nucleotides long. Lineage: Eukaryota; Fungi; Ascomycota; Pezizomycetes; Pezizales; Pyronemataceae. The record is from Rfam.